Molecule: ribosomal RNA, 301 nt
Filed under: uncultured bacterium
Lineage: Bacteria
Description: partial 16S ribosomal RNA
Rfam family: Bacterial small subunit ribosomal RNA
Source: RNAcentral
CAGCGCCGCGGUAAUACAGAGGGUGCGAGCGUUAAUCGGAUUUACUGGGCGUAAAGCGUGCGUAGGCGGCUUCUUAAGUCGGAUGUGAAAUCCCUGAGCUUAACUUAGGAAUUGCAUUCGAUACUGGGAAGCUAGAGUAUGGGAGAGGAUGGUAGAAUUCCAGGUGUAGCGGUGAAAUGCGUAGAGAUCUGGAGGAAUACCGAUGGCGAAGGCAGCCAUCUGGCCUAAUACUGACGCUGAGGUACGAAAGCAUGGGGAGCAAACAGGAUUAGAUACCCCCGUAGUCCCUGUCUCUUAUACC